Paragonimus skrjabini miyazakii is the source of this 81-nucleotide non-coding RNA. Lineage: Eukaryota; Metazoa; Platyhelminthes; Trematoda; Plagiorchiida; Troglotrematidae. The record is from the annotation of a GenBank genome assembly.
GGCUUCGUAGCUCACCUGGUAGAGCGCUUACCGCGUUGAGGCAUGAUUUUUCUGUUGCUAGUUCGGAUCCAGCCGAAGCCC